AGCCGCGGUAGUAUAGCCCGGUCAAGUAUGCGGGCCUUUCGAGCCCGUGACCCGGGUUCAAAUCCCGGCCGCGGC
Molecule: transfer RNA, 75 nt
Filed under: Fervidicoccus fontis Kam940
Lineage: Archaea; Thermoproteati; Thermoproteota; Thermoprotei; Fervidicoccales; Fervidicoccaceae
Description: tRNA-Glu
Rfam family: tRNA
About the family: Transfer RNA (tRNA) molecules are approximately 80 nucleotides in length. Their secondary structure includes four short double-helical elements and three loops (D, anti-codon, and T loops).
Source: RNAcentral